Molecule: non-coding RNA, 452 nt
Organism: Solanum lycopersicum (tomato)
Lineage: Eukaryota; Viridiplantae; Streptophyta; Magnoliopsida; Solanales; Solanaceae
Source: RefSeq, a predicted model, not a curated record
ACCAAUCUAAAACAAAUCCCCAAAUUGAAAACUCAAUUGCUCCCACUUCUGUAUAAAUCCUCUCUACCCAAACCUCCAUACAAGAACAUUAAAGCAUCAAGAAGAAUAUCAAUUCUCCAGGUUUUAUACUCAAUUUCGUGGCUAAGUCUUCAUUAAGAUACCAUUGAUUUUGGAUUAAGUCUUGAAUGGGUUUCUUGGAGUCUAUUGGUUCAUGCCAUUGAGGUCAUUCUUGUCUUUUCUUGAAGAAACUUGGAUUGUUAUUCCUAAGUUUGUAAGUCCUCAAGUCGGAGGAUGGAGAUGCUUGAUUCUCUUUCUAGUUUCACAUUCCUUACUCAAAGAUUAUAUUUUAAUUCAUAUUAUAAGACUUUUUGUUGAUGUAACGCCUAAUUCCCAAUUCUCAUACUCUUGUGUUUAGAUGGCAAUGUGAGACAAGUUAGAUUUUAUUUUCGAUA